RNAcentral lists this ribosomal RNA (510 nucleotides) under uncultured bacterium. RNAcentral describes it as "partial 16S ribosomal RNA". It matches the Rfam family "Bacterial small subunit ribosomal RNA", at positions 28 to 523 of the family's 1533-position model. The record is from RNAcentral.
GACGAACGCUGGCGGCGUGCCUAAUACAUGCAAGUCGAGCGGACUUAAAAAGCUUGCUUUUUAAGUUAGCGGCGGACGGGUGAGUAACACGUGGGCAACCUGCCUGUAAGACUGGGAUAACUUCGGGAAACCGGAGCUAAUACCGGAUAAUCCUUUCCUACUCAUGUAGGAAAGCUGAAAGACGGUUUACGCUGUCACUUACAGAUGGGCCCGCGGCGCAUUAGCUAGUUGGUGAGGUACGGGCUCACCAAGGCGACGAUGCGUAGCCGACCUGAGAGGGUGAUCGGCCACACUGGGACUGAGACACGGCCCAGACUCCUACGGGAGGCAGCAGUAGGGAAUCUUCCGCAAUGGACGAAAGUCUGACGGAGCAACGCCGCGUGAGUGAUGAAGGUUUUCGGAUCGUAAAACUCUGUUGUUAGGGAAGAACAAGUACGAGAGUAACUGCUCGUACCUUGACGGUACCUAACCAGAAAGCCACGGCUAACUACGUGCCAGCCGCCGCAGUAA